Erythranthe guttata (spotted monkey flower) is the source of this 347-nucleotide non-coding RNA. NCBI's taxonomy places the organism in Eukaryota, Viridiplantae, Streptophyta, Magnoliopsida, Lamiales, Phrymaceae. The record is from RefSeq and is a predicted model, not a curated record.
AGAUUGUUGCUUGUGCUGUCGACUGCUUUAUCUCAGUCAUGUUCAGUGGAGAGGAGUAACAAAUAUGUGCUUACAACAAUAGAAAAGUUGACUAUUUUGGCAUUGUUGUAGAAUGUUGUACAGAUGUGUAGAUGUUGUAGAAACACAAAGAUACGGACUUCGGCUUGGAGCUUAAAGAGUGGACUUCAAUUGUAUAUUCGAUCGAAUACUUGAUCCAGUUGAACUGGCUCUCUCCACUGGAACUGGAAGUUGGAUUAACCUACCUUAUAAAAUCCGAUUACUUACAAUGUUAUGAAUGACACUGUGGUAUUCUCCCAAACUAGUUUGCCAAAAUACGAGCCUGAAGU